UAAUCGCAACGCUACUCUGUUUACCAGGUCAGGUCCGGAAGGAAGCAGCCAGAGCAGACGACGUGUGUGCCGGGAUGUA
This 79-nucleotide signal recognition particle RNA is filed under the name Klebsiella pneumoniae. RNAcentral describes it as "signal recognition particle sRNA small type". It matches the Rfam family "Bacterial small signal recognition particle RNA". From Rfam's summary of the family: The signal recognition particle (SRP) is a universally conserved ribonucleoprotein involved in the co-translational targeting of proteins to membranes. Lineage: Bacteria; Pseudomonadati; Pseudomonadota; Gammaproteobacteria; Enterobacterales; Enterobacteriaceae. The record is from RNAcentral.